Eubalaena glacialis (North Atlantic right whale) is the source of this 984-nucleotide long non-coding RNA. RefSeq lists it as uncharacterized. The transcript is spliced from 4 exons. The record is from RefSeq and is a predicted model, not a curated record. Lineage: Eukaryota; Metazoa; Chordata; Mammalia; Artiodactyla; Balaenidae.
UUCCCGAGGGAAGCACGGGGACUUGGGGGCUGAAGGGGUGGGACACCCAGGCCCCUGUCAUCAGGGAGUGGUGACCAGAAGGAACGCUGCCGCCGUGGAGGCGAUGAGAGAUCAGGAGCAUUCCGGAGGGCAGAAGGAAGAACGGAAAUGCAAGUCAGCAAAGGGGGCCAAAAGCCCUGUGCCACGGGAGGUGCUCCGAGCCGCCUGUCAGAGGGCUUUGUGAGAAGGCCAAGCGCCAAGCAGACUGAAGAUUUUAACCAAUGUCCUGUGUGGUGUGGGAAGGGGACCCUGACACUGCUGUGGAAGAGGCCAAUCUCUAAACCGUUGAGACCACGAAGUCUGACAAAUCUUCCUCUUAAAUGGAUGCAUAUGGGCCCAGCUGAGUCUGUCCACUCUUCUUUCACGUCCUUUCCAGCCCACAGUGCCCACCCCUCAAGCUCAGAAGGCCUGAUCUCCGGGGUCCUUCCCUGGCCCACCUUCCUGAACACAGAGGCCAUUUCAGGGGACGCCAGACGUGCCACAACAGAGCAGGUGAUUGUUAGCUGGUCAUGGGGGCUGCGUGGGUUUGAACCCAGCCCAUCACCAUCUAUGGAGAUCUUGCCUAAGUCACCUCUCUGUGCCCGUUUCCUCGCCUAUAAAAUGGGGAUGUAAUACCCACCUCACAGGGCUAUUGCAAGAUCAAAUGAGUCCAUUCACACAUUAUUGAGCAUAAAGCGUGUAGAACGGGGUCUGGCAGACUGGCGACAUGAGCUGCUAGCCACGGUCCCCCCACUCCUCUCUCCUGUCCUCAUUCCAACCUGUUAACUGUCACCUCCUCCAAGAAGCCCACCCUGACCACAUCUUAAGUAGCCUGCUCCUUCUCCACCUCCCCACCUCUUUCAUUUUUUUGUCCCUUCCAGACCACCCCAGUUCUCCCCUUGACCCUCAGGCUGUCCUCAGUCCUCCCAGACUGCCCCCCCAUCUUGCCCACAGCCCCUCUCCCCA